UCAACGAAUUCAAAGUACAAUUACUUUGAGAAGUAGGAGAAGCUAAGCAACAGGACAGAAUUCAUUUGAGGCAUUGCUUUCUAGAUUACCGGUAUAUAGUGGAGUCAUAGAUUGUCCUAUUGUUUUAUGUGGAUAUGAGGAGCAGUAGUCAAUGAAUAAUUUUGUGAUGAGAGAAUUAGCUCCUCAGAUGUAAGUGGAAGGGAAGCUAUAUACAUUAUAUAUUUAAAUGAAAUUAACAACAGGAUUAGAUAUUGAGGAGAUCCUAUAGCUACAGUAUAUAUAAAUGUAACUGCAACUGUAUUCCAAGAGUCUGAUGGCUGAUAAUGUAUUACAGGAUUUUAUCAUUCAAGCAACAUCUUAGAAGGAUAAGUGCAAAUAUAUGAAGGAAGCCUUGGGUACAAAUAGCAAUUACAGCAAUUACAUGCAGGAGAGAACUCUUAACAUUACUAACAGACAUGUAGUCAUUAUAUGGGAGUUGUGUAUUCAAGAAAUCUAAAACACAUGGAAUUAAAUAUCGUGUAUAUUUUUUCAACCACAAGUACUCUCAGAAUAUAAUACAAUUCAAAUUCAAAUUAUUGUGCCAACAUGACAAUUACAGUCUAAAAAUGGAAAAUGCAUGUUUUAAACUGAUUUUUAUAUAAAUAUUUGAAAUAACAAGAA
Mytilus californianus (California mussel) is the source of this 660-nucleotide long non-coding RNA. RefSeq lists it as uncharacterized. The record is from RefSeq and is a predicted model, not a curated record. Lineage: Eukaryota; Metazoa; Mollusca; Bivalvia; Mytilida; Mytilidae. The transcript is spliced from 3 exons.